UGUAACAGUUCUUAGAUCAGUGUGAAUUGCUAUCUUACGACAUGUUUUGCGAGGUAGUUAGCAGGAGCAAGAAAAAAUGUUGGAAUACACAGAGCGAUAUCGAUACGAUGUGAAGAAAAUGAGUUUUAAAUAGCUCGAACGAUGGCCACGUUAUCGUUAUGGAAAAUUUUAUGAUCGUGAAUUGUAGAAGAGAAAUAUUGAAUUUUAGUAUUUUCGAUGAAUGCGAAAUAUAAUAAGUGCUAUGUUGUUGCAAAUCAAUCAUAUAGAAUCAAAGUUAUGAUUGGAGCGAAAAUCAUAUUACGUAGUUAAAUUCUGACGAUCUUAGUGAUAUUGAACGCUGUUACGUCACAUAACACUCGAGUACUCACUUUACGUAACAAGAAGGAACAUGUUACUUAUAAAUCGAAAAUCUAAGGAAGGUUAAAAAAAUAUGAAUAUCAACAUCAAUAUCAAGUAUCAACGAUCUGUACAUUAUGACGAGUAAGUAGGUAUUAAAAAUUUGAAGAUAUUUUUUUCUCGACUCUGUAAAGAUAGUAAAACACGGAAUUAGAACAAGAAUUAGUCUACAUGCAAAAACUA
This is a long non-coding RNA of Bombus terrestris (buff-tailed bumblebee), 579 nucleotides long. RefSeq lists it as uncharacterized. The record is from RefSeq and is a predicted model, not a curated record. The transcript is spliced from 2 exons. Lineage: Eukaryota; Metazoa; Arthropoda; Insecta; Hymenoptera; Apidae.